Molecule: ribosomal RNA, 375 nt
Filed under: uncultured organism
Description: partial 16S ribosomal RNA
Rfam family: Bacterial small subunit ribosomal RNA
Source: RNAcentral
GUAGGUGGCAAGCGUUGUCCGGAAUUAUUGGGCGUAAAGCGCGCGCAGGUGGUUCUUUAAGUCUGAUGUGAAAGCCCCCGGCUCAACCGGGGAGGGUCAUUGGAAACUGGGGAACUUGAGUGCAGGAGAGGAAAGUGGAAUUCCACGUGUAGCGGUGAAAUGCGUAGAUAUGUGGAGGAACACCAGUGGCGAAGGCGACUUUCUGGCCUGUAACUGACACUGAGGCGCGAAAGCGUGGGGAGCAAACAGGGAUUAGAUACCCUGGUAGUCCACGCCGUAAACGAUGAGUGCUAAGUGUUGGGGGGGUUACCCGGCCCCUCAGUGCUGCAGCUAACGCAUUAAGCACUCCGCCUGGGGAGUACGGUCGCAAGACUG